RNAcentral lists this ribosomal RNA (254 nucleotides) under uncultured bacterium. RNAcentral's name for it is "partial 16S ribosomal RNA". It matches the Rfam family "Bacterial small subunit ribosomal RNA", at positions 524 to 776 of the family's 1533-position model. The record is from RNAcentral.
UACGUAGGGGGCGAGCGUUGUCCGGAUUCAUUGGGCGUAAAGAGCUCGUAGGCGGCUUGGCAAGUCGGGGGUGAAAACUCCAGGCUCAACCUGGAGACGCCACCCGAUACUGCCAUGGCUUGAGUCCGGUAGGGGACCACGGAAUUCCUGGUGUAGCGGUGAAAUGCGCAGAUAUCAGGAGGAACACCGGUGGCGAAGGCGGUGGUCUGGGCCGGUACUGACGCUGAGGAGCGAAAGCGUGGGGAGCGAACAGG